CUGAGUUGGCUCCAAACUCAAUCCAUACUCUAAGUAACAGAUUCAAGAUGCUCAACAUUGGAAUUAUUUGGCAUCAAUUUAAAAUGAAAC
This is an unclassified non-coding RNA of Microcebus murinus (gray mouse lemur), 90 nucleotides long. NCBI's taxonomy places the organism in Eukaryota, Metazoa, Chordata, Mammalia, Primates, Cheirogaleidae. The record is from Ensembl.